GUGGCUGUAGUAUAGCGGUUAGUAUCCCACGUUGUGGCCGUGGGGACCUGGGCUCGAAUCCCAGCAGCCACA
Arabis alpina (gray rockcress) is the source of this 72-nucleotide non-coding RNA. The record is from Rfam. Lineage: Eukaryota; Viridiplantae; Streptophyta; Magnoliopsida; Brassicales; Brassicaceae.